AGCUCCAAAAGUGUAUACGAAUAUUGUUGCAGUUAAAACGCUCGUAGUUGGAAGUGGAUUUUUUUUCAAUGCAUUUUUCAAAUUUUUCAAGAUUUGAGAAAAGGAAGUGAAAAAGAAUAAGAUGAAGAAAAGAAAGAAGAUGAUGAAGAGAGAUUUUCAUGAUUUUUUUUUUUGAAUUACUUUGAAAAAAUUAAAGUGUUUAAAACAAUUGAACAAAAAAGGAAUUUUUCAAUUUUGUUGAUUGAUUGAAUAAUGAAGCAUAGGAUAAUGAAAUAAGAUUUGAAAGAAAGUUGGGUUGAAUCUUUUUAGGGUUUCGAAUAAUGAUCGAUAAAAGUGGUCGGGGGUAUCCAGAUUGAAUAGGGAGCGGUGAAAUGUGAGGAUCUAUUCAAGAUGAACAAGAGCGAAAGCAUUUAUCAAGGACAUUUUUA
Molecule: ribosomal RNA, 428 nt
Filed under: uncultured eukaryote
Lineage: Eukaryota
Description: partial small subunit ribosomal RNA
Rfam family: Eukaryotic small subunit ribosomal RNA
Source: RNAcentral